AUUGAACGCUGGCGGCAUGCCUUACACAUGCAAGUCGAGCGGCAGCGCGGGGGCAACCCUGGCGGCGAGCGGCGAACGGGUGAGUAAUACAUCGGAACGUGUCCAGUAGCGGGGGAUAACCUGUCGAAAGAUAGGCUAAUACCGCGUACGACCUACGGGUGAAAGCGGGGACCGCAAGGCCUCGCACUAUUGGAGCGGCCGAUGUCGGAUUAGCUAGUUGGCGGGGUAACGGCCCACCAAGGCGACGAUCCGUAGCUGGUCUGAGAGGACGACCAGCCACACUGGAACUGAGACACGGUCCAGACUCCUACGGGAGGCAGCAGUGGGGAAUUUUGGUACAAUGGGCGCAAGCCUGAUCCAGCCAUGCCGCGUGAGUGAAGAAGGCC
This 386-nucleotide ribosomal RNA is filed under the name uncultured bacterium. RNAcentral describes it as "bacterial SSU rRNA". It matches the Rfam family "Bacterial small subunit ribosomal RNA", at positions 29 to 416 of the family's 1533-position model. The record is from RNAcentral.